UAGUUGCCAUAACUCCGAGCUCUUAAGCUAAGUUCCUGCGGGGAUACGCUGAAUGAGCCAGUGGCAUUUUGCCACGAGGGCCAGGUUGGAAAUGACCUUGCCUCCCGUGUUUGGAAAGGUGUUCCGUGGCGCAACAA
RNAcentral lists this non-coding RNA (137 nucleotides) under Vibrio proteolyticus. RNAcentral describes it as "MoCo sequence". It matches the Rfam family "Molybdenum/Tungsten riboswitch aptamer (Moco RNA motif)". Lineage: Bacteria; Pseudomonadati; Pseudomonadota; Gammaproteobacteria; Vibrionales; Vibrionaceae. RNAcentral also lists the same sequence under 1 other name. The record is from RNAcentral.